UGCAUCACGGGAUUCGGGGCAAGGCC
RNAcentral lists this non-coding RNA (26 nucleotides) under Homo sapiens (human). The record is from RNAcentral. Lineage: Eukaryota; Metazoa; Chordata; Mammalia; Primates; Hominidae.